CCUACGGGUGGCAGCAGUGAGGAAUAUUGGUCAAUGGGCGGAAGCCUGAACCAGCCAAGUAGCGUGCAGGAUGACGGCCCUACGGGUUGUAAACUGCUUUUGUACGGGAAUAACGCGCCUUACGUGUAGGGCUUUGCAUGUACCGUAUGAAUAAGGCACGGCUAAUUCCGGGCCAGCAGCCGCGGUAAUACGGAAGGUGCGGGCGUUAUCCGGGUUUAUUGGGGGUAAAGGGGGCGUAGGGCGGAUGGUAAGCGUGCUGGGAAAUGGUCGGGCUCAACCCGGGCCUUGCAGUGGCAACUGGCGUUCUUGAGUGCGCGAGAAGCAGGCGGAAUGCGUGGUGUAGCGGUGAAAUGCUUAGAUAUGACGAAGAACCCCGAUUGCGAAGGCAGCUUGCUGCAGCGGAACUGACGCUGAUGCUCGAAAGCGCGGGUAUCGAACAGGAUUAGAUACCCUGGUAGUC
Molecule: ribosomal RNA, 460 nt
Filed under: uncultured bacterium
Lineage: Bacteria
Description: partial 16S ribosomal RNA
Rfam family: Bacterial small subunit ribosomal RNA
Source: RNAcentral